GUAAUGCUGUUGCUGUUCUUGGUGUUGUUAAUACAGCUGUUGUUCUUAGUGCUGGUAGUGAUGCUUCUGCUAUUGUUGCUGCUGAUGUUCUUGGUGAUACUGCUAUUGUUGUUCCUCUUGUUAUUGGUGGUGUUGUCAUUGUUAUUGGUAUUGUUCUUGGUCUUGUUGUUGUUUUUAUUGCUAUUGUCGUUGCUAUUGUUAUUGUUACGGUUGUUCUUGGUGGUGUUGUUAUUAUUGUUGUUCUUGGUGUUGUUGUCAUUGUAAUUGGUAUUGUUGUUGUUCUUGGUGGUGUUGUUGUUAUUGUUGUUCUUGGUGGUUUUGUCAUUGUAAUUGGUAUUGUUGUUGUUCUUGGUGGUGUUGCUGUUAUUGUUGUUCUUGGUGUUGUUGUCAUUGUUAUUGGUAUUGUUGUUGUUCUUGGUGGUGUUGUUAUUAUUGUUGUUCUUGGUGUUGUUGUCAUUGUAAUUGGUAUUGUUGUUGUUCUUGGUGGUGUUGUUGUUAUUGUUGUUAUUGGUGGUGUCAUUGUUAUUGGUAUUGUUCUUGGUCUUGUUGUUGUUGUUGCUAUUGUCGUUGCUAUUGUUAUUGUUACUGUUGUUCUUGGUGGUGUUGUUAUUAUUGUUGUUCUUGGUGUUGUUGUCAUUGUAAUUGGUAUUGUUGUCAUUGUAAUUGGUAUUGUUGUUGUUCUUGGUGGUGUUGUUGUUAUUGGUGGUGUUGUCAUUGUUAUUGGUCUUGUUGUUGUUAUUAUUGCUAUUGUCGUUGCUAUUGUUAUUGUUACUGUUGUUCUUGGUGGUGUUGUUAUUAUUGUUGUUCUUGGUGUUGUUGUCAUUGUAAUUGGUAUUGUUGUUGUUCUUGGUGGUGUUGUUGUUAUUGUUCUUGGUGUUGUUGUCAUUGUUAUUGGUGUUGUUGUUCUUGGUGUUGUUGUUGUUGUUAUUGUUGUUCUUGGUGUUGUUGUCAUUGUUAUUGGUAUUGUUCUUGGUCUUGUUGUUGUUGUUAUUGCUAUUGUCGUUGCUAUUGUUAUUGUUACGGUUGUUCUUGGUGGUGUUGUUAUUAUUAUUGUUCUUGGUGUUGUUGUCAUUGUAAUUGGUAUUGUUGUUGUUCUUGGUGUUGUUGUUAUUGUUGUUCUUGGUGUUGUUGUCAUUGUUAUUGGUAUUGUUGUUGUUCUUGGUGGUGUUGCUGUUAUUGUUGUUCUUGGUGUUGUUGUCAUUGUUAUUGGUAUUGUUGUUGUUCUUGGUGUUGUUGUUGUUAUUGUUGUUCUUGGUGUUGUUGUUAUUGGUAUUGUUGUUGUUCUUGGUGUUGUUGUUGUUAUUGUUGUUCUUGGUGUUGUUGUCAUUGUUAUUGGUAUUGUUGUUGUUCUUGGUGGUGUUGUUAUUAUUGUUGUUCUUGGUGUUGUUGUCAUUGUAAUUGGUAUUGUUGUUGUUCUUGGUGGUGUUGUUGUUAUUGUUGUUAUUGGUGGUGUCAUUGUUAUUGGUAUUGUUCUUGGUCUUGUUGUUGUUGUUAUUGCUAUUGUCGUUGCUAUUGUUAUUGUUACUGUUGUUCUUGGUGGUGUUGUUAUUAUUGUUGUUCUUGGUGUUGUUGUCAUUGUAAUUGGUAUUGUUGUUGUUCUUGGUGGUGUUGUUGUUAUUGUUGUUCUUGGUGUUGUUGUCAUUGUUAUUGGUAUUGUUGUUGUUCUUGGUGUUGUUGUUGUUAUUGUUGUUCUUGGUGUUGUUGUCAUUGUUAUUGGUAUUGUUGUUCUUGGUGUUGUUGUUCUUGGUGUUGUUGUUCUUGGUGUUGUUGUUGUUGUUGUUGUUAUUGUUGUUCUUGGUGUUGUUGUCAUUGUUAUUGGUAUUGUUCUUGGUCUUGUUGUUGUUGUUAUUGCUAUUGUCGUUGCUAUUGUUAUUGUUACUGUUGUUCUUGGUGGUGUUGUUAUUAUUGUUGUUCUUGGUGUUGUUGUCAUUGUAAUUGGUAUUGUUGUUGUUCUUGGUGUUGUUGUUGUUAUUGUUGUUCUUGGUGUUGUUGUCAUUGUUAUUGGUGUUGUUGUUGUUCUUGGUGUUGUUGUUGUUGUUGUUGUUGUUAUUGUUGUUCUUGGUGUUGUUGUCAUUGUUAUUGGUGUUGUUGUUCUUGGUGUUGUUGUUAUUGCUAUUGUCAUUGCUAUUGUUACUGUUGCUGCUAUUGCCGUUAUUCUUGCUACUGUUAUUGGUGCCGUUUGUGUUAUUGCUGCUGUUGUUGCUGUUCUUGGUGCUGUUGUUGUUAUUGUUAUUAUUGUUGUUCUUGGUGUUGUUGUCAUUGUAAUUGGUAUUGUUGUUGUUGUUGGUAUUGUUGUUCUCAUUGCGAUUGUUAUUGUUACUGUUGUUGCUGCUAUUAUCGCUGUUGUUAUCCUUGCUACUGUUUUUGGUGUUAUUGUUGCUGUUGUUGUGGCUGUUGCUGUUGGUGGUGUUAUUGUUGCUGUUCUUGGUGUUGUUGUCAUUGGUAUUGUUGUUGUUCUUGGUGUUGUUAUUGCUGUUGUUGCUAUUGCUUUUGAUACUGUUAUUAUUGCUAUUGUUGCUGUUGUCAGUAAUAAUCAUCAUCAUCAUCAUCAUCAUAAACAGCUUUAUUUACAUAUAAAAUUCCAUGCAUUAAAAUGCAGCUUAAAGUGUGUUACAAAGACAAAAAUGUCACACAAUAAAGGCACAAGC
Ictalurus punctatus (channel catfish) is the source of this 2648-nucleotide long non-coding RNA. NCBI's taxonomy places the organism in Eukaryota, Metazoa, Chordata, Actinopteri, Siluriformes, Ictaluridae. The record is from Ensembl.